CCUUCUGUCAGGUGCAUCGCGAUCGUAUUUCGAGUUGCCCGAAAUGGUGCGUGAGAGCGGUGAGAGCUAAACACCCGCAGGAGUGUGCCUGAUACCCGUUUCUAAUCUGUCGGACAAAACACGACUGGUCUUCGGAGCGUCGACCUGAACUGGCGGACUCGGUACGUGACAUCUAAACACCCGCAGACGGUCGUUGCCGGUGGAAAUGCCCAGAUUGUCAACUCGCGGAAGCCAUUCAUCGACUCUUCCAGAGGAGUGAAUUCUCCCAACCUCCAGGCCGUGCAUCAUACCCGGUUCAAAUCUUCCGGACACAACACGAACGGGCUUAGGAGCGUCCUCCUGAAACCGGCGAACUCGGUACGUGACAGCUAAACACCUGCAGACGGACGCCAAAGAGAUUCGACCGCGAGACGGAGUAAGUUCCCCUAACCUCCAGGCUGUGCAUCAUACCCGAUUCCAAUCUGCCGGACAAAACACGACCGGGCUUCGGAGCGUCCUCCUGAGACCGGCGGACUCGGUGCGUGACAGCGAAACACCCGCAGAAGUAAAUUCCCCCAACCUCCAGGUUGUGCAUCAUACCCGGUUCAAAUCUGCUAGACAAAACUUGACCAGGAAGAUGAGCUCCCGGUGGGCUUCCGGCUAAGCUGCAACGUCGUCGGGAUGUGGACUUCCCCCGGAAGCUGCACGCUCAUCUCCCCGAAGCAGUCCAUCGGCGCCGCAUGGUGUCGAACGAAGAUGAGUUCCCGGUGGGCUUCCGGCCAAGCUGCAACGUCGUCGGGAUGUGGAAUUCCCCCGGAAGCCGCACGCUCAUCUCCCCGAAGCAGUUCAUCGGCGCCGCAUGGUGUCGAAUGAAGGUUAGCUCCCGGUGGGCUUCCGGGCAAGCUGCAACGUCGUCGGGACGUGGACUUCCCCGGAAGCUGCACGCUCGGCGUUGAAACGUAACAAAUCAUAAUUGCACCACUAUCGAAACAAGUUGGCCACGUGGACUUCAAGGCGCGAAAUAGUCGGAAACUGGACAUCUUCCCAAAGCAGUUCAUCGGCGCCGCAUGGUGUCGAAUGAAGGUUAGCUCCCGGUGGGCUUCCGGCCAAGCUGCAACGUCGUCGGGAUGUGGACUUCGCGCCUCCCCGUCGGAGACUGCUCGAUCAACAUCGGUA
Molecule: long non-coding RNA, 1155 nt
Organism: Culex pipiens pallens (northern house mosquito)
Lineage: Eukaryota; Metazoa; Arthropoda; Insecta; Diptera; Culicidae
Exons: 4
Source: RefSeq, a predicted model, not a curated record